GAUGAAGAACGUAGCAAAAUGCGAUACUUGGUGUAAAUUGCAGAAUCCCGUGAACCAUCAAGUUUUUGAACACAAGUUGCACCCGAAGCCUUUUGGCCAAGGGCACGUCUGCCUGGGUGUCACGCAUCGCGUAGCCCCCUGCAAUUCUCCUUAAAGGGAACUUGUGUUUCGGGGGCAGAUAUUGGUCUCCCGUGCUCAUGGCGUGGUUGGCCGAAAUAGGAGUCCCAUCAAUGGACACACGAACUAGUGGUGGUCGUAAAAACCCUCGUCUUUUGCUUCGUGCUGUUAGUCGCAAGGGAAACUCAUAGAAAACCCCAACGUGUCGUCUCUUGACGACGCUUCGACCGCGACCCCAGGUCAGGUGGGACUACCCGCUGAGUUUAAGCAUAUCAAUAAGCGGAGGA
This 404-nucleotide unclassified non-coding RNA is filed under the name soil metagenome. Its description in RNAcentral is "partial contains 5.8S ribosomal RNA, internal transcribed spacer 2, and large subunit ribosomal RNA". The stretch from base 1 to 122 matches the Rfam family "5.8S ribosomal RNA", at positions 35 to 154 of the family's 154-position model. The record is from RNAcentral.